GAUGAACGCUGGCGGCGUGCCUAAUACAUGCAAGUCGAGCGAACAGACGAGGAGCUUGCUCCUCUGACGUUAGCGGCGGACGGGUGAGUAACACGUGGAUAACCUACCUAUAAGACUGGGAUAACUUCGGGAAACCGGAGCUAAUACCGGAUAAUAUAUUGAACCGCAUGGUUCAAUAGUGAAAGACGGUUUUGCUGUCACUUAUAGAUGGAUCCGCGCCGCAUUAGCUAGUUGGUAAGGUAACGGCUUACCAAGGCGACGAUGCGUAGCCGACCUGAGAGGGUGAUCGCCCACACUGGAACUGAGACACGGUCCAGACUCCUACGGGAGGCAGCAGUAGGGAAUCUUCCGCAAUGGGCGAAAGCCUGACGGAGCAACGCCACGUGAGUGAUGAAGGUCUUCGGAUCGUAAAACUCUGUUAUUAGGGAAGAACAAAUGUGUAAGUAACUAUGCACGUCUUGACGGUACCUAAUCAGAAAGACACGGCUAACUACGUG
RNAcentral lists this ribosomal RNA (497 nucleotides) under uncultured bacterium. Its description in RNAcentral is "partial 16S ribosomal RNA". It matches the Rfam family "Bacterial small subunit ribosomal RNA", at positions 28 to 507 of the family's 1533-position model. The record is from RNAcentral.